GACGAACGCUGGCGGCGUGCCUAACACAUGCAAGUCGAACGACAAACCCGAGUUUGGUUGCGCACGAGGGCGUGACGCGUGGGAAAAUACGCUUGGGUUCUACCUCGCUGACCGGGAGAAGUCCUAAUACCGCAUACUAUCUUCGGACCAAAGAUUUAUCGCUUUUGGUUGUGACUGCGUUGGAUUCGCUGUUUGGUAUGGUAAGAGCCUACCAAGGCAACGGUUCGUAGCUGGUCUGAGAGGAUGAUCAGCCACACUGGGACUGAGACACGGCCCAGACUCCUACGGGAGGCAGCAGUGGGGAAUAUUGCACAAGGGAGUAAAGCAUGAUCCAGCAAUGCCGGGUGAGUGGUGAAGGCCGUAGGGUUGGAAAGCUCUUUUACCCGGGAUGAGAAUGACGGUACCGGGAGAAGAAGCUCCGGCUAACUACGUG
RNAcentral lists this ribosomal RNA (433 nucleotides) under uncultured bacterium. Its description in RNAcentral is "partial 16S ribosomal RNA". It matches the Rfam family "Bacterial small subunit ribosomal RNA", at positions 28 to 507 of the family's 1533-position model. The record is from RNAcentral.